UCUGCAUGACUGCGGUGAGUCCACUUCGUCGUCUUCUAUCACUGGCACUAUUUCCACUUGCACUACUGCUACCAUUUCCAUCCGCGUUUCCACUAACACCACUAGUAACUGUUGACGAUUGUGUGCAUUGUACCAAUGAAGGACUACCAGGUUGUAACUAUAAACAAAAAUGCUGCAAGUGUUCACGACUACCAGGUUGACUCCAUCCACCAUUCUCUCCGCCACUAGAACCGCUACCGUGUUGUUGAUAAAAAACAUGAAGAUUGGCUCCUCCAUCGGAGGCUCUUCGUCCAAAACUUCCUGCUAUAUGAAGUAAUAAAAAUACAAUUAGAUAAUAUAUAAGAGAAAAAUACAAUAAUUAUAUGCUUCCAAUUAAUCAAGAAGAAAAUAGAAAUAAACUCACUAGCACCCAUGACA
This 417-nucleotide long non-coding RNA is filed under the name Polistes fuscatus (common paper wasp). RNAcentral's name for it is "uncharacterized LOC122518745". Lineage: Eukaryota; Metazoa; Arthropoda; Insecta; Hymenoptera; Vespidae. The record is from RNAcentral.